RNAcentral lists this ribosomal RNA (221 nucleotides) under uncultured bacterium. RNAcentral's name for it is "partial 16S ribosomal RNA". It matches the Rfam family "Bacterial small subunit ribosomal RNA", at positions 109 to 334 of the family's 1533-position model. The record is from RNAcentral.
AGUAAUGUAUGGGGAUCUGCCUGAUGGCGGGGGAUAACUACUGGAAACGGUAGCUAAUACCGCAUAAUGUCUGCGGACCAAAGCGGGGGACCUCCGGGCCUCGCGCCAUCAGAUGAACCCAUAUGGGAUUAGCUUGUAGGUAGGUAACGGCUUACCUAGGCGACGAUCCCUAGCUGGUCUGAGAGGAUGAUCAGCCACACUGGGACUGAGACACGGCCCAG